Molecule: ribosomal RNA, 832 nt
Filed under: uncultured Herpetosiphon sp.
Lineage: Bacteria; Bacillati; Chloroflexota; Chloroflexia; Herpetosiphonales; Herpetosiphonaceae
Description: bacterial SSU rRNA
Rfam family: Bacterial small subunit ribosomal RNA
Source: RNAcentral
UGCAAGUCGCACGCACCUUCGGGUGAGUGGCGCACGGCUGAGGAACACGUGGCUAACCUGCCCAUGAGUGGGGGAUAACGGGCCGAAAGGCUCGCUAAUCCCGCAUACGAUCCGCGCAAGUGGAGGAAAGCCGUAAGGCGCUCAUGGAGGGGGCCGCGCCCCAUUAGAUCGUUGGUGUGGUAAUGGCGCACCAAGUCUGUGAUGGGUUCCGGGUCUGAGAGGACGAUCCGGCAGACUGGGACUGAGACACGGCCCAGACUCCUGCGGGGGGCAGCAGCAAGGAAUUUUCCCCAAUGGGCGCAAGCCUGAGGGAGCAACGCCGCGUGGAGGAUGACGGCUUUCGGGUUGUAAACUCCUUUUUAUGGGGACGAUAAUGACGGUACCCAUGGAAUAAGCCCCGGCUAACUACGUGCCAGCAGCCGCGGUAAUACGUAGGGGGCAAGCGUUGUCCGGACUUACUGGGCGUAAAGCGCGUGCAGGCGGAUGUGUAUGUGCCGUGUGAAAGCUCUCGGCUUGCCCGGGAGAGGUCGCGGUAGACAGCUCAUCUGGAGGCUCGGAGAGGUCAGUGGAAUUCCCGGUGUAGUGGUGAAAUGCGUAGAUAUCGGGAGGAACACCAGUGGCGCAAGCGGCUGACUGGCCGAGACCUGACGCUGAGACGCGACGGCGUGGGGAGCAAACCGGAUUAGAUACCCGGGUAGUCCACGCAGUAAACGAUGCACACCCGGUGUCGGACCGACCGUCAUGGUCGGUGCGGUGCCCAAGCUUACGCGAUGAGUGUGCCGCCUGGGGACUACGAGCGCAAGCUUAAAACUCAAAGGAAUUGACGGGGGCC